AGAGGGUGUCGCGUGGCCUUCUGGGAAAUGCAGUUUACCUGCGAGGCUGGAACCGCCGUUCAACGUACCCACAAGACUACGUGCUCCACAAUGCACAGCGCGCGCGGCGGCUGAGCGGUGCGUUGCUGCCCCCACGUGGCGGCGGAGCGAUUAUGUCCAAACCUGAGAAUAGGGCUGAGAGAGAGGAGACAAAAUUCCAAAGCCUGGACUGUAUCUGAUUCACAGGUGGAAGCAGAUCAUUCUGAGCCCCAGAAAAUAAUGUAGGCAUAAGAUUAAGUCUGCUUGUGUGUCACCAGAUGGAGGACAGCUGCCAACCAAGCAGGACACCUGUGGCAAGAAAUCAACUAUUGUAUCAAGUCACUGAAAUCAAGGGAGUUCUUUGUUACAGUAGCUGACAUUAUACUCAGUGAUACUCUGACCCUUCCCCUCCGGUCCCUGAUAUCAGGAAACCCCAAGCACCCCCUGUCAUUCUGUGAAAUGAACCUCUAAUAUUCA
This is a long non-coding RNA of Canis lupus familiaris (dog), 495 nucleotides long. RefSeq lists it as uncharacterized. NCBI's taxonomy places the organism in Eukaryota, Metazoa, Chordata, Mammalia, Carnivora, Canidae. The transcript has 3 exons. The record is from RefSeq and is a predicted model, not a curated record.